This 513-nucleotide ribosomal RNA is filed under the name uncultured bacterium. RNAcentral's name for it is "partial 16S ribosomal RNA". It matches the Rfam family "Bacterial small subunit ribosomal RNA", at positions 28 to 523 of the family's 1533-position model. The record is from RNAcentral.
GACGAACGCUGGCGGCAUGCCUAAUACAUGCAAGUCGAGCGAACAGAUGAAGUGCUUGCGCUUCUGACGUUAGCGGCGAACGGGUGAGUAACACGUAAGGAAGCUACCUAUAAGCGGGGGAUAACAUUCGGAAACGGGUGCUAAUACCGCAUAAUAUCUUCUUCCGCAUGGAAGAAGAUUGAAAGACGGCCCUGCUGGCACGUAAAGAUGACCUGGGUGUGCAUUAGUUGGUUGGUGGGGGAAUGGCCUACCAAGACGAUGAUGCAUAGCCGACCUGAGAGGGUGAUCGGCCACAUUGGGACUGAGACACGGCCCAAACUCCUACGGGAGGCAGCAGUAGGGAAUCUUCCGCAAUGGGCGAAAGCCUGACGGAGCAAUGCCGCGUGAGUGAAGAAGGCCUUCGGGUCGUAAAGCUCUGUUAUAAGAGAAGAACAAAUUGUAGAGUAACUGCUACAGUCUUGACGGUAUCUUAUCAGAAAGCCACGGCUAACUACGUGCCAGCCGCCGCCGUAA